Molecule: long non-coding RNA, 1072 nt
Filed under: Salarias fasciatus (jewelled blenny)
Lineage: Eukaryota; Metazoa; Chordata; Actinopteri; Blenniiformes; Blenniidae
Description: lncRNA (ENSSFAG00005011556.1)
Source: RNAcentral
GCAGGAUUCUUGUUGACCUGGAGGGGAUUAGUCUCAGGAGGAAGUGGCUGGCAGGACUUGAACCUGAAAAUGUUCACAUGAUGAUCGGGUCCAUGACCAUCGACUGUCUGGGAAUCCUGACUGAACUCUCAGAUUGCAAACGCAAACUCUUUCCUGUGGGAUACCAGUAAGAUAUUUUUCCCUUUGUCCUGAAGAACAUGAAAUUGCCAAGUAAGCUAAGUCAGUCUGAGCUAACUCGUUUCUCUCCAGGUGCUCAAGGGUCUACUGGAGUACGCUGGAUGCUCGCAAGCGCUGCGUGUACACAUGCAGGAUCCUCGUCUGUCACCCUCCUGUGGCAGAAUCUGAAAUGAAGAACAUGCUGGCUCCUGAGGAGAAUCGCACGAUAGCACACAGUCCACCUCCCCUAACAGGUAACGCGCUGGCCUCACAGCUGCAGUCAGAACCGCCACUAAUGAAUGACGCUUAAGAUCACCCUUUUUCCUGUUUAGACUUUCCUGAUCCAUUUGAAUCACCGAGACGCUCCGACACCCUUUCACCCGCCAACACCCCCAAGCUCAGGGUUUACACCAGGAACCGGCACCCCAGCUACCCGCCGUGUCAGCGCUCUCUGGGCCCCAAGCCCAUGCCAUCAACAGGAGGUACCUCUCAGCCCCAAAGCCAUGAGAUUGUGACGGUCGGCGACUCGCUCGUAAACUCCGGCAUGCGGAAUAUCGACUCCCGCCGUCACAGCUCCCCUUCUCUUUCUCCUCCGACCCACCAGCUCAACCGACCGAGAGGAGUGACCUCCCUGCCUCACAUUUUGUCACGGCCCCUCACCUCCCCGCCACCUCUCAUCCCCUCCCCCGCCAGAGACCCCGAGAAGUCCAGACAUCCAAGCAAGGACUCGGCAAAGUGUGCAGCGCAGAGAGACGAUGAAAAGAGUCGACUGUUCUCCGCAGAUAGAAAUAGGCAGCAAUUUUCUAGAGAGCAAGGGUUAAGAGAAGCCGACAAGGGGAGAAUGUCAAGUCGAGACCAAGCUUCUAAGGAUUCUGACAAGAAUAGAUCAACAAGAGAAAAAGACUCUGACAAGGGC